GCUGGAGUGACAGAUUCCUCAAGU
RNAcentral lists this non-coding RNA (24 nucleotides) under Arabidopsis thaliana (thale cress). Lineage: Eukaryota; Viridiplantae; Streptophyta; Magnoliopsida; Brassicales; Brassicaceae. The record is from RNAcentral.